ACUUUUGAGAGUUUGAUCCUGGCUCAGAACGAACGCUGGCGGCGCGCCUAACACAUGCAAGUCGAACGAGAAUCC
This 75-nucleotide ribosomal RNA is filed under the name Nitrospirota bacterium. Its description in RNAcentral is "partial 16S ribosomal RNA". It matches the Rfam family "Bacterial small subunit ribosomal RNA", at positions 1 to 75 of the family's 1533-position model. Lineage: Bacteria; Pseudomonadati; Nitrospirota. The record is from RNAcentral.